ACGCUCGACACCUACGGGGGCAGCAGUGGGGAAUAUUGCACAAUGGGGGAAACCCUGAUGCAGCGACGCCGCGUGAGCGAAGAAGUAUUUCGGUAUGUAAAACUCUAUCAGCAGGGAAGAAACUGACGGUACCUGACUAAGAAGCACCGGCUAAAUACGUACCAGCAGCCGCGGUAAUCUGAGCGGGCUGGCAAGGC
Molecule: ribosomal RNA, 197 nt
Filed under: uncultured bacterium
Lineage: Bacteria
Description: partial 16S ribosomal RNA
Rfam family: Bacterial small subunit ribosomal RNA
Source: RNAcentral